AUGCACUGGCAAUCGUGGGAGAAGAUGGCUAUCUCAAAAUCCAAGGGAGGUUUGGGAUUUCGGGACUUGGAGCUGUUCAAUGAUGCAAUGCUCGCCAAACAGGCGUGGCGACUGUUGGAUAAGCCAGACAGUCUACGCGCACGUGUUCUUAAGGGUCGGUACUACCCAGAUGGAGAUGUUUUACAGGCAGGAUGCCCUGCUAGCGCCUCCAUUACAUGGAAAGGCAUCACUACUAGGGAAAAGCCUAGCAGCAACGCGGGUUUUAGGUACAUUAGUAGCGCGGGGACCGGCGCUACUAAUAAGGCCCUAUAG
This 312-nucleotide ribosomal RNA is filed under the name Triticum aestivum (bread wheat). RNAcentral describes it as "partial small subunit ribosomal RNA". Lineage: Eukaryota; Viridiplantae; Streptophyta; Magnoliopsida; Poales; Poaceae. The record is from RNAcentral.